CUAAUACCGGAUAAGAAAGACGGAUCGCAUGAUCAGCUUUUAAAAGGACGGCGUAAGCUGUCGCUAUGGGAUGGCCCCGCGGUGCAUUAGCUAGUUGGUAAGGUAAAGGCUUACCAAGGCGAUGAUGCAUAGCCGAGUUGAGAGACUGAUCGGCCACAUUGGGACUGAGACACGGCCCAAACUCCUACGGGAGGCAGCAGCC
Molecule: ribosomal RNA, 202 nt
Filed under: uncultured Lactobacillus sp.
Lineage: Bacteria; Bacillati; Bacillota; Bacilli; Lactobacillales; Lactobacillaceae
Description: partial 16S ribosomal RNA
Rfam family: Bacterial small subunit ribosomal RNA
Source: RNAcentral